GAUGAACGCUUGCUACAGGCUUAACACAUGCAAGUCGAGGGGCAUCAGGAAGAAAGCUUGCUUUCUUUGCUGGCGACCGGCGCACGGGUGAGUAACACGUAUCCAACCUGCCCUUUACUCGGGGAUAGCCUUUCGAAAGAAAGAUUAAUACCCGAUGGCAUAAUGAUUCCGCAUGGUUUCAUUAUUAAAGGAUUCCGGUAAAGGAUGGGGAUGCGUUCCAUUAGGUUGUUGGUGAGGUAACGGCCCACCAAGCCUUCGAUGGAUAGGGGUUCUGAGAGGAAGGUCCCCCACAUUGGAACUGAGACACGGUCCAAACUCCUACGGGAGGCAGCAGUGAGGAAUAUUGGUCAAUGGGCGGUAGCCUGAACCAGCCAAGUAGCGUGAAGGAUGAAGGCUCUAUGGGUCGUAAACUUCUUUUAUAUAAGAAUAAAGUGCAGUAUGUAUACUGUUUUGUAUGUAUUAUAUGAAUAAGGAUCGGCUAACUCCGUGCCAGCAGCCGCGGUAAUACGGAGGAUCCGAGCGUUAUCCGGAUUUAUUGGGUUUAAAGGGAGCGUAGGUGGACUGGUAAGUCAGUUGUGAAAGUUUGCGGCUCAACCGUAAAAUUGCAGUUGAUACUGUCAGUCUUGAGUACAGUAGAGGUGGGCGGAAUUCGUGGUGUAGCGGUGAAAUGCUUAGAUAUCACGAAGAACUCCGAUUGCGAAGGCAGCUCACUGGACUGCAACUGACACUGAUGCUCGAAAGUGUGGGUAUCAAACAGGAUUAGAUACCCUGGUAGUCCACACAGUAAACGAUGAAUACUCGCUGUUUGCGAUAUACAGUAAGCGGCCAAGCGAAAGCAUUAAGUAUUCCACCUGGGGAGUACGCCGGCAACGGUGAAACUCAAAGGAAUUGACGGGGGCCCGCACAAGCGGAGGAACAUGUGGUUUAAUUCGAUGAUACGCGAGGAACCUUACCCGGGCUUAAAUUGCAGUGGAAUGAUGUGGAAACAUGUCAGUGAGCAAUCACCGCUGUGAAGGUGCUGCAUGGUUGUCGUCAGCUCGUGCCGUGAGGUGUCGGCUUAAGUGCCAUAACGAGCGCAACCCUUAUCUUCAGUUACUAACAGGUCAUGCUGAGGACUCUGGAGAGACUGCCGUCGUAAGAUGUGAGGAAGGUGGGAUGACGUCAAAUCAGCACGGCCCUUACGUCCGGGGCUACACACGUGUUACAAUGGGGGGUACAGAAGGCAGCUAGCGGGUGACCGUAUGCUAAUCCCAAAAGCCUCUCUCAGUUCGGAUCGAAGUCUGCAACCCGACUUCGUGAAGCUGGAUUCGCUAGUAAUCGCGCAUCAGCCACGGCGCGGUGAAUACGUUCCCGGGCCUUGUACACACCGCCCGCCAAGCCAUGGGAGCCGGGGGUACCUGAAGUACGUAACCGCAAGGAUCGUCCUAGGGUAAAACUGGUGACUGGGGCUAAGUC
This 1455-nucleotide ribosomal RNA is filed under the name uncultured organism. RNAcentral's name for it is "16S ribosomal RNA". It matches the Rfam family "Bacterial small subunit ribosomal RNA". The record is from RNAcentral.